Molecule: long non-coding RNA, 125 nt
Organism: Thalassophryne amazonica
Lineage: Eukaryota; Metazoa; Chordata; Actinopteri; Batrachoidiformes; Batrachoididae
Exons: 3
Source: RefSeq, a predicted model, not a curated record
GGAUUCACCUGUUCCUGGUCAACAUCAUCGUCUCCGGUGAUUAUGAUUCUCUUCUCGAUCCUGGUCUCUGAAUAUCCUCCUUUCACCGUCUGUGACAUACAACAGCUCAAGAAGCAGAAUCAUGA